This 448-nucleotide ribosomal RNA is filed under the name uncultured bacterium. RNAcentral's name for it is "partial 16S ribosomal RNA". It matches the Rfam family "Bacterial small subunit ribosomal RNA", at positions 330 to 794 of the family's 1533-position model. The record is from RNAcentral.
UCCAGACUCCUACGGGAGACAGCAGUGGGGGAUAUUGCACAAUGGGGGGAACCCUGAUGCAGCGACGCCGCGUGGGUGAAGGAGCGUUUCGGCGCGUAAAGCCCUAUCGGCAGGGAAGAAGGAGGACGGUACCUGACUAAGAAGCCCCGGCUAACUACGUGCCAGCGGCCGCGGUAAUACGUAGGGGGCAAGCGUUAUCCGGAUUUACUGGGUGUAAAGGGGGCGCAGACGGCAGCGUAAGCCAGGAGUGAAAGCCCGGGGCCCAACCCCGGGACUGCUCUUGGAACUGCGCGGCUGGAGUGCAGGAGGGGCAGGCGGAAUUCCUGGUGUAGCGGUGAAAUGCGUAGAUAUCAGGAGGAACACCGGUGGCGAAGGCGGCCUGCUGGACUGCGACUGACGUUGAGGCCCGAAAGCGUGGGGAGCAAACAGGAUUAGAUACCCGGGUACA